RNAcentral lists this ribosomal RNA (97 nucleotides) under Tuber lauryi. Its description in RNAcentral is "partial 28S ribosomal RNA". It matches the Rfam family "Eukaryotic large subunit ribosomal RNA", at positions 1 to 96 of the family's 3401-position model. The record is from RNAcentral. Lineage: Eukaryota; Fungi; Ascomycota; Pezizomycetes; Pezizales; Tuberaceae.
UUGACCUCGGAUCAGGUAGGGAUACCCGCUGAACUUAAGCAUAUCAAUAAGCGGAGGAAAAGAAACCAACAGGGAUUGCCUUAGUAACGGCGAGUGA